Molecule: ribosomal RNA, 1346 nt
Filed under: uncultured bacterium
Lineage: Bacteria
Description: bacterial SSU rRNA
Rfam family: Bacterial small subunit ribosomal RNA
Source: RNAcentral
GACGAACGCUGGCGGCGUGCUUAACACAUGCAAGUCGAACGGAAAGGCCCUGCUUUUGUGGGGUGCUCGAGUGGCGAACGGGUGAGUAACACGUGAGUAACCUGCCCUUGACUUUGGGAAAACUUCAGGAAACUGGGGCUAAUACCGGAUAGGAGCUCCUGCUGCAUGGUGGGGGUUGGAAAGUUUCGGCGGUUGGGGAUGGACUCGCGGCUUAUCAGCUUGUUGGUGGGGUAGUGGCUUACCAAGGCUUUGACGGGUAGCCGGCCUGAGAGGGUGACCGGCCACAUUGGGACUGAGAUACGGCCCAGACUCCUACGGGAGGCAGCAGUGGGGAAUAUUGCACAAUGGGCGGAAGCCUGAUGCAGCAACGCCGCGUGCGGGAUGACGGCCUUCGGGUUGUAAACCGCUUUCGCCUGUGACGAAGCGUGAGUGACGGUAAUGGGUAAAGAAGCACCGGCUAACUACGUGCCAGCAGCCGCGGUGAUACGUAGGGUGCGAGCGUUGUCCGGAUUUAUUGGGCGUAAAGGGCUCGUAGGUGGUUGAUCGCGUCGGAAGUGUAAUCUUGGGGCUUAACCCUGAGCGUGCUUUCGAUACGGGUUGACUUGAGGAAGGUAGGGGAGAAUGGAAUUCCUGGUGGAGCGGUGGAAUGCGCAGAUAUCAGGAGGAACACCAGUGGCGAAGGCGGUUCUCUGGGCCUUUCCUGACGCUGAGGAGCGAAAGCGUGGGGAGCGAACAGGCUUAGAUACCCUGGUAGUCCACGCUGUAAACGGUGGGUACUAGGUGUGGGGUCCAUUCCACGGGUUCCGUGCCGUAGCUAACGCUUUAAGUACCCCGCCUGGGGAGUACGGCCGCAAGGCUAAAACUCAAAGGAAUUGACGGGGCCCCGCACAAGCGGCGGAGCAUGCGGAUUAAUUCGAUGCAACGCGUAGAACCUUACCUGGGUUUGACAUGGAUCGGGAGUGCUCAGAGAUGGGUGUGCCUCUUUUGGGGUCGGUUCACAGGUGGUGCAUGCCUGUCGUCAGCUCGUGUCGUGAGAUGUUGGGUUAAGUCCCGCAACGAGCGCAACCCUUGUUCACUGUUGCCAGCACGUUAUGGUGGGGACUCAGUGGAGACCGCCGGGGUCAACUCGGAGGAAGGUGGGGAUGACGUCAAGUCCUCAUGCCCCUUAUGUCCAGGGCUUCACGCAUGCUACAAUGGCUGGUACAGAGAGUGGCGAGCCUGUGAGGGUGAGCGAAUCUCGGAAAGCCGGUCUCAGUUCGGAUUGGGGUCUGCAACUCGACCUCAUGAAGUCGGAGUCGCUAGUAAUCGCAGAUCAGCAACGCUGCGGUGAAUACGUUCCCGGGACU